Molecule: transfer RNA, 76 nt
Filed under: Escherichia coli
Lineage: Bacteria; Pseudomonadati; Pseudomonadota; Gammaproteobacteria; Enterobacterales; Enterobacteriaceae
Also listed under: 1 other name
Description: tRNA-Asn
Rfam family: tRNA
About the family: Transfer RNA (tRNA) molecules are approximately 80 nucleotides in length. Their secondary structure includes four short double-helical elements and three loops (D, anti-codon, and T loops).
Source: RNAcentral
UCCUCUGUAGUUCAUUCGGUAGAACGGCGGACUGUUAAUCCGUAUGUCACUGGUUCGAGUCCAGUCAGAGGAGCCA